Molecule: long non-coding RNA, 795 nt
Organism: Neodiprion fabricii
Lineage: Eukaryota; Metazoa; Arthropoda; Insecta; Hymenoptera; Diprionidae
Exons: 3
Source: RefSeq, a predicted model, not a curated record
UUACGAUGAAACAGGUUAUACCAAAAAAGAUUAAAAACACGGAUCCGGAUCACAAUUCAGUUUCAAUGAAAUUCCUGAAUCAAAAUUACCGCUACAUGAGAUAGCAGCAAUUUUGGGUAAUUCAACCGCAGUUAAUAUCUGCACGAACCACGUCAAAGUGCCAGUGGUUUUGCAGGGUCUUUUAUUAUAGACUCGUAUUAUCGUCAGUCUAGGAUAUAACACGUGGAGCAGAAAUCAGAGGCACAAAGUAACGCACGCACUUGAUAUAAUUAUAACCGAAACGAAAUCCCAUGUCGCUUUGUGUAUAAUAUCAACUGAGAAUUUCAACAAUUCGGGGACCUUCAGAACUUCACUCUACACCUUUCCUCUCAGCUCAUAUAGCUGAGCUCUUCGCUGUUAGAAACAGCCCUGGAAUAACACCUGGUGCCAUGUGCCUAAGCCUCGACACUCGACCGCCAGGUAUUUUGGGAAUGUCACUCGUGAUCCUUCGCAUCUCAAGGAUAAACUCAACUUCCUCCUCGGGCAUCAGAGACAAAGCCCAGGAGUUUAAUAAUCGAGGAAUGCCACCUUCGGUCAAAGCUCCACGGCCAUUGAUCUCUCACUCCAUCAUUACAGAAAUAGACGCCUAAUCGACUUACCGCAGAGCCACUCGAUAACGAUCCAAUUUCCAUCCCGAUUAAGGUCUGAUUACAAGUCCGAAAUGAUGUCAACAAACACCACGGAAAGAACCAACCGACUGGAAAGCACUGGCACGAAUGGUAUGUAACUCCAAUGAAAUUUUCAGAUUAUCCGUGA